CUACGGGUCGCUCCAGUCGGGAAUAUUGCGCAAUGGAGGAAACUCUGACGCAGUGACGCCGCGUGCAGGAAGAAGGUUUUCGGAUUGUAAACUGCUUUAGACAGGGACGAAACAAAUGACGGUACCUGUAGAAUAAGCUCCGGCUAACUACGUGCCAGCAGCCGCGGUAAUACGUAGGGAGCAAGCGUUAUCCGGAUUUAUUGGGUGUAAAGGGUGCGUAGACGGAUAAACAAGUUAGUUGUGAAAUACCUCGGCUUAACUGAGGAACUGCAACUAAAACUAUAUAUCUUGAGUACUGGAGGGGAAAGCGGAAUUCCUAGUGUAGCGGUGAAAUGCGUAGAUAUUAGGAAGAACACCGGUGGCGAAGGCGGCUUUCUGGACAGCAACUGACGUUGAGGCACGAAAGUGUGGGGAGCAAACAGGAUUAGAUACCCUCGUAGUC
RNAcentral lists this ribosomal RNA (442 nucleotides) under uncultured bacterium. Its description in RNAcentral is "partial 16S ribosomal RNA". It matches the Rfam family "Bacterial small subunit ribosomal RNA", at positions 339 to 795 of the family's 1533-position model. The record is from RNAcentral.